GGAUGUGGUAGCAAUUUGGCUGUGACAUGUGAUACUCCGUUGAUCAAUAGAGUUGAUUCAUUUGAUAUGACUGGAAGGAGGUUGUCCACUUCCACCUCUCCUUAACUUCUUGACUCUUAUUUCCCUGAUUUACUUUUUAGUCUUAAGACAAAAGAGAAUAAUCUACUCAGAAGAGACCCGUGGUUCAGUCGAGAGUAUAUGAAAG
RNAcentral lists this small RNA (205 nucleotides) under Marmota monax (woodchuck). RNAcentral's name for it is "7SK RNA". The stretch from base 1 to 101 matches the Rfam family "7SK RNA", at positions 1 to 108 of the family's 331-position model. The record is from Rfam by way of RNAcentral. Lineage: Eukaryota; Metazoa; Chordata; Mammalia; Rodentia; Sciuridae.